AUUGAACGCUGGCGGCAUGCUUUACACAUGCAAGUCGAACGGUAACAGGCCGCAAGGUGCUGACGAGUGGCGAACGGGUGAGUAAUGCAUCGGAACGUGCCCAGUCGUGGGGGAUAACUACUCGAAAGAGUAGCUAAUACCGCAUACGAUCUAUGGAUGAAAGCGGGGGACCGUAAGGCCUCGCGCGUUUGGAGCGGCCGAUGUCAGAUUAGGUAGUUGGUGGGGUAAAGGCUCACCAAGCCAACGAUCUGUAGCUGGUCUGAGAGGACGACCAGCCACACUGGGACUGAGACACGGCCCAGACGCCUACGGGAGGCAGCAGUGGGGAAUUUUGGACAAUGGGCGCAAGCCUGAUCCAGCAAUGCCGCGUGCAGGAAGAAGGCCUUCGGGUUGUAAACUGCUUUUGUACGGAACGAAACGGCUCUGGUUAAUACCCGGGGCUAAUGACGGUACCGUAAGAAUAAGCACCGGCUAACUACGU
RNAcentral lists this ribosomal RNA (481 nucleotides) under uncultured bacterium. RNAcentral's name for it is "partial 16S ribosomal RNA". It matches the Rfam family "Bacterial small subunit ribosomal RNA", at positions 30 to 506 of the family's 1533-position model. The record is from RNAcentral.